This 240-nucleotide unclassified non-coding RNA is filed under the name soil metagenome. Its description in RNAcentral is "partial contains 5.8S ribosomal RNA, internal transcribed spacer 2, and large subunit ribosomal RNA". The record is from RNAcentral.
AACGCACGAGACCUGCGGACCUGCGGAGGGAUCAUUAAUGAGAAGCUGCCCCUCGUGGGUAGACCUCCCACCCUCUGUGAACUUACCUUUGUUGCUUUGGCGGGCCCGUCCUCUGGACCGCCGGCUUCGGCUGGCCCGUGCCUGCCAGAGGAUUCCAAACCCUGUCUGUCAGUGUUGUCUGAGUCUAUAUGAAAUCGUUAAAACUUUCAGCAACGGAUCUCUAGAUCGGAAGAGCACACG